Molecule: ribosomal RNA, 424 nt
Filed under: uncultured bacterium
Lineage: Bacteria
Description: partial 16S ribosomal RNA
Rfam family: Bacterial small subunit ribosomal RNA
Source: RNAcentral
GUAGGGAAUCUUGCGCAAUGGGCGAAAGCCUGACGCAGCCAUGCCGCGUGAAUGAUGAAGGUCUUAGGAUUGUAAAAUUCUUUCACCGGGGACGAUAAUGGCGGUACCCGGAGAAGAAGCCCCGGCUAACUUCGUGCCAGCAGCCGCGGUAAUACGAAGGGGGCUAGCGUUGCUCGGAAUUACUGGGCGUAAAGGGAGCGUAGGCGGAUAGUUUAGUCAGAGGUGAAAGCCCAGGGCUCAACCUUGGAAUUGCCUUUGAUACUGGCUAUCUUGAGUAUGGAAGAGGUAUGUGGAACUCCGAGUGUAGAGGUGAAAUUCGUAGAUAUUCGGAAGAACACCAGUGGCGAAGGCGACAUACUGGUCCAUUACUGACGCUGAGGCUCGAAAGCGUGGGGAGCAAACAGGAUUAGAAACCCGGUAGUCC